GGUCAAGCACCAGAGUUAGAGCUAAACCGUGAGUCUGCUAUUCAGGUGGGCUUUCUAUGUAUAAACUAAAAUUAUAUAUUAGAAUUGUUAAGACUUUAUGCUUAUGAAUUUAAAUGAUAUUGUCAAUGCCUAAAUGCUUUAUGUUUUAUUAUUAAUUGCCUAUCUGAUGUUAAUCGAAUUCGGAUUCUGGAUGGGACCGCAAAUCCCUUCGGAAUUAGUGUACACCCUUGUGAUCGUGAGUCAUCUAGCGGGUUGGCCGAUCAUAGUGUCCGUAGAGGGAGGCCUCCCUCUCGGCACGAGUUACUGAUAUGGUGAUUAAUGAUAUAAAAUACCUGCGCGGGUUAUUGAUGAAAGAAAUGAUAUUAUUUUGGUAAAUACGAGUCUUUAAGGAAAACCCUCGUAUCUUACUACUGUUGAAAGGCUUGACAAUAAAAUAUUAUGCAUAUAUGUAAAUUUCGGCAAGUGUCCACUAAGUACUUUUGUACUUAGCCCUGCAUGUAUUUUUAAAUGUGCAGGUUGAGCUGUGAUCGAGGAUGUAGUGUGCAAGCGAAGCUUUUGUCAAUUUAGGACGAGAACCUCAGAGUAGAGUAUAUGUCUUCAUACAUAUACUCAAGUUAUUGUUAUUCCGCUGCGAACACUGAUUAUGUUAAGAUAUUAUGUCAUUUGUCAAACAAUAUGUAUUAUUUAAUAAUGUACUAAAACCAUUGAGUACCCCAUUUUGGGAUAAUAUUAUGUACGGUCCCCUUGUGGCCUUCGUUGAUAUCUA
This 766-nucleotide long non-coding RNA is filed under the name Salvia miltiorrhiza (redroot sage). RNAcentral's name for it is "long non-coding RNA (SMIL_LNC007818)". Lineage: Eukaryota; Viridiplantae; Streptophyta; Magnoliopsida; Lamiales; Lamiaceae. The record is from RNAcentral.